UGUUGCCAAUGUGAAGGCAUUAAGAAGUGGAGCCUUUAAGAGGAAACGGGAGCAGCCUCCACUGCUUACCUGUUCAAACCACCUUAAUUUGUGGCCUCUGGGGUGGAAGCUCACAGCUGGACUACAUCUCCUAGGCUGUGUUUCAGCCAAUGGACUAUGGCCAAAAGCAGGGAAUGCCCCUUCCAGGCCUGGCCUAUAAAAAUCCCCCAUGUGCUCCUCUGUUCUCUCUUUGUCCACCUGCCAGCUGGACAUUGAUGCUCAAGGCAACCUUGGAGGUCAUGUGUUGAAGAUGGCAGUGUCUUUGCCAACCCCACUGCCAGUGGACUUUAUGUGAACACAAAAUAAA
Molecule: long non-coding RNA, 346 nt
Filed under: Homo sapiens (human)
Lineage: Eukaryota; Metazoa; Chordata; Mammalia; Primates; Hominidae
Description: HSALNT0354710
Source: RNAcentral